UUGAACGCUGGCGGCAUGCUUUACACAUGCAGGUCGCACGGUAACAGGCCUUCGGGUGCUGACGAGUGGCGAACGGGUGAGUAAUGCAUCGGAACGUACCCAGAGGUGGGGGAUAACGCAGCGAAAGCUGUGCUAAUACCGCAUGUGAUCUGAGGAUGAAAGCGGGGGACCGAGCAGCAAUGUUUGGCCUCGCGCCUUUGGAGCGGCCGAUGUCGGAUUAGCUAGUUGGUGGGGUAAAGGCCUACCAAGGCGACGAUCCGUAGCUGGUCUGAGAGGACGACCAGCCACACUGGGACUGAGACACGGCCCAGACUCCUACGGGAGGCAGCAGUGGGGAAUUUUGGACAAUGGGCGCAAGCCUGAUCCAGCAAUGCCGCGUGCGGGAAGAAGGCCUUCGGGUUGUAAACCGCUUUUGGCAGGAACGAAACGGUGUCCGCUAAUACCGGGCGCUAAUGACGGUACCUGCAGAAUAAGCACCGGCUAACUACGUG
This 491-nucleotide ribosomal RNA is filed under the name uncultured bacterium. RNAcentral's name for it is "partial 16S ribosomal RNA". It matches the Rfam family "Bacterial small subunit ribosomal RNA", at positions 29 to 507 of the family's 1533-position model. The record is from RNAcentral.